This 681-nucleotide ribosomal RNA is filed under the name Metschnikowia pulcherrima. Its description in RNAcentral is "eukaryotic LSU rRNA". The stretch from base 64 to 213 matches the Rfam family "5.8S ribosomal RNA". Lineage: Eukaryota; Fungi; Ascomycota; Pichiomycetes; Serinales; Metschnikowiaceae. The record is from RNAcentral.
GCUUGCUUGGCGGUCGCCCUUUUAGGCACGACUCUUGUCUUAACCGUCAAUAUUUUUUAAAAAAACUUUCAACAACGGAUCUCUUGGUUCUCGCAUCGAUGAAGAACGCAGCGAAUUGCGAUACGUAAUAUGACUUGCAGACGUGAAUCAUUGAAUCUUUGAACGCACAUUGCGCCCCGGGGUAUUCCCCAGGGCAUGCGUGGGUGAGCGAUAUUUACUCUCAAACCUCCGGUUUGGUCCUGCUUCGGCAUAAUAUCAACGGCGCUAGAAUAAGUUUUAGCCCCAUUCUUCUUCCUCACCCUCGUAAGACUACCCGCUGAACUUAAGCAUAUCAAUAAGCGGAGGAAGGUUUAUUAGACUUUUCUCACCCUUUUAGCCAAACUCUAAUCUUAACGUCAAAACAAUUUUAAAAAAUUACAAAACGAUCUCUUGGUCUGCAUAGUAAAAAAGGACGAAAGGAUAGUAAUAUGAUUGCAAACUGAAUCAUGAAACUUUGAACGCCCUUGGGGCCCCGGGGUAUUCCCAGGGCAUGGUGGGUGAGCGAAAAUUUCUCUCAACCUCCGGGUUGGGCCUGCUUCCGCUAAUAUCAACGGCGCUAGAAAAAAGUUUUACCCCUUCUUUCUUUCUCCCCUCGGAAGAAAUACCGCCUGAACUUAAACAUAUCAUUAAGCGGAAGAAAAA